Molecule: transfer RNA, 66 nt
Filed under: Erinaceus europaeus (western European hedgehog)
Lineage: Eukaryota; Metazoa; Chordata; Mammalia; Eulipotyphla; Erinaceidae
Rfam family: tRNA
About the family: Transfer RNA (tRNA) molecules are approximately 80 nucleotides in length. Their secondary structure includes four short double-helical elements and three loops (D, anti-codon, and T loops).
Source: Rfam by way of RNAcentral
GGGUUGGCUUAGUGGGUAGAGCAUAGGACUUGCAUGCCUGAGGCCUUGGGUUCAAUCCCCAAUCCA